Molecule: RNase P RNA, 358 nt
Filed under: bacterium
Lineage: Bacteria
Also listed under: 1 other name
Description: RNase P RNA component class A
Rfam family: Bacterial RNase P class A
About the family: Ribonuclease P (RNase P) is a ubiquitous endoribonuclease, found in archaea, bacteria and eukarya as well as chloroplasts and mitochondria. Its best characterised activity is the generation of mature 5'-ends of tRNAs by cleaving the 5'-leader elements of precursor-tRNAs.
Source: RNAcentral
GUUCUGCAUCAGGCAGUCGCUAUUCCGCCUCUGGCGGGAUGGAGGAAAGUCCGGGCACGCCCUUAUUUCGCAAGAAAUCAGGAGGACGGUAGCGGGUAACUCCCGUCUGGGUAAUCCAAGGGAUGCGAGCAGAGACGCCGAAGCCGAGAGGCCAAGGCAUCCGCCGGCUGGCGGAUGAGUCCCGCAACAAUGCGGGAGUGAAACGGCAAAAUUCCUACCUGCGUGCAAGGCCGUGCUUGUUGCGACCACGCGUGGCAACAAGAGAGCCGCUUGACCCCGCAAGCAAUUGAGGGGCUAGAUAAAUGACUGUCGUCGCCGAAAGGCGGAACAGAACCCGGCUUACAGAUGCAGAAGAAAA